UGGAUCCAGACUUUGAUCAUGGCUCAGGACGAACGCUGGCGGCGUGCUUAACACAUGCAAGUCGAACGAGAAUCUACUGAAAGAGUUCUCGGACAAUGGAUGUGGAGGAAAGUGGCGGACGGGUGAGUAACGCGUGAGGAACCUGCCUUGAAGAGGGGGGACAACAGUUGGAAACGACUGCUAAUACCGCAUGAUGCAUAGGGGUCGCAUGAUUCUUAUGCCAAAGAUUUAUCGCUUCAAGAUGGCCUCGCGUCUGAUUAGCUAGCUGGCGGGGUAACGGCCCACCAAGGCGACGAUCAGUAGCCGGACUGAGAGGUUGAACGGCCACAUUGGGACUGAGAUACGGCCCAGACUCCUACGGGAGGCAGCAGUGGGGAAUAUUGGGCAAUGGGCGCAAGCCUGACCCAGCAACGCCGCGUGAAGGAAGAAGGCUUCCGGGUUGUAAACUUCUUUUAAGAGGGAAGAGCAGAAGACGGUACCUCUAGAAUAAGCCACGGCUAACUACGUGCCAGCAGCCGCGGUAAUACGUAGGUGGCAACGUUGUCCGGAUUUACUGGGUGUAAAGGGCGUGCAGCCGGGUCUGCAAGUCAAAUGUGAAAUCCAUGGGCUCAACCCAUGAACUGCAUUUGAAACUGUAGAUCUUGAGUGUCGGAGGGGCAAUCGGAAUUCCUAGUGUAGCGGUGAAAUGCGUAGAUAUUAGGAGGAACACCAGUGGCGAAGGCGGAUUGCUGGACGAUAACUGACGGUGGGGCGCGAAAGUGUGGGGAGCAAACAGGAUUAGAUACCCUGGUAGUCCACACUGUAAACGAUGAAUACUAGGUGUGCGGGGACUGACCCCCUGCGUGCCGCAGUAAACACAAUAAGUAUUCCACCUGGGGAGUACGAUCGCAAGGUUGCAACUCAAAUGAAUUGACGGA
RNAcentral lists this ribosomal RNA (917 nucleotides) under uncultured Bacillota bacterium. Its description in RNAcentral is "bacterial SSU rRNA". It matches the Rfam family "Bacterial small subunit ribosomal RNA", at positions 1 to 917 of the family's 1533-position model. The record is from RNAcentral. Lineage: Bacteria; Bacillati; Bacillota.